UUAGGAACUGUUCCAGAAGGAUUUGAUGGCUAUUUUAGGAGGCGGUUUCCACAACUACUAAUUGAAGUGUAUAAAGUGAUGUCAGAAUACUGUAAAGAUGAGGCCUGUUUUCAGAAGUACUUCACAAGCAGUGUACUUUAGGCUCCUCCAGAUAGCAGCUGUAUCUUGUUCCGUUCUUACAUUAUAUGCAUGAUGUAACAUGUAUUGUAUAUUGUAAUCUACACCAUGUAAAUAUGCCUGUGCCGGGCAGGUACCAGAAAGCUGUACGGACACCACUGUUGUUGGAAACAAAAAUAAUGUAAAUAUGAAAUCAAAUUGUGUAAUCUUAUUUAAGUAUGUUUACUAACAUUUCUCUCUUUUUAUUUUAAAUGCUCAAAUAUGUUUCUUAUUCGAGCUGAAAGGGCUUGUAGUACGCAUGCAUAUUGAUUAGCAGGAUAUUCUAAUGCUAGAGAUUUUUUAAUUUUAUUUUUUCAAAAAUAGGCUUAAAUGGAACGACACAGACAGUUGCAGAUUCAUAUAUUCAACUCCAACUAUUUCGAGAUUGAGUCAUAGUAGUAGUUGCUGUAAGGUUCUUGAAUUGUAUGACAUAAUUUGUAAGUUUCUUGGAUUGUAUGACAUAAUGUCAAUGGCACCAGAACUUUAUAAAAUUUGAUACAGUUACAGCAUCGUCUACACAAAUAUGCAGUCAACCUUUAUAAUUACAUUUGAGGAAGAAUGGUAGAUUUUUGUUUAUGAACUAUACAGAUUCUCCAAAACCUACAACCCUGUUUGAGUAUAUCUCAGAACGGUCAUUCCUUGAACCGUUUACUGAUGCAUCUUGAUCAAUACUUCUUACUGAAGUCACCUCUAGUUGCCUUUGUUUGGAUCGAGACCUCACUGACUCGUCCUUUUCAUCAGCAAAAGAAAGGAAUGUUUGCAGUCGUCCUGAUCGUGAGCUUUCAUUAGCUACCUCAGAAUUGGGAUGGUAUUGGCAAUAUUGACAUGCUAGCAUCACAAAAUAAAUGAGCACAGCCAGAAAACAUGCCAACCCACAUAGAAAGAAUAGACCUGAGAAGCUUUUCAGCUUAAGCCUGUCCACUUCAAGCUUUGUAUUCUGUGAAGUGCAAGCUAUUCCAGAAAGCCAUUUAUCAUGGAUCCUUUGAAGUUCCCCAUUCUCUGAUAGUUUCAAAAUUGCUGUUGACAUGUCUACUGCUAGAGGAGAAUCCCUAGGGAAAGCCUAUGAGGGAAAAAAGUAGAAAAGAAAUCAGCACUAGUCACAAAAAAGCAAAGUCAGGAAAGGACAUUAUUCUCAAAACAUCGACAGGUCUGGCUUAAAUCCUUCAAAACAAAAUGGUCUUAUAUUGAUUAGUUUGAUGGCAUAGGAUGAAAGGAAAGGUAGUUAUAAACAUAGCCAAACCAAAUACACCAACUUAGUACUUUUAUUCUUUACUUUAAACGUUCUCACCAAUCGACCCCCUACAUUUUGAGGUACCAUAAGGCAAAUUUUGUGUGAAGCAAGCACCAUGUUAUGUCAAGAGUGUUAAUGAUCUCCAAAAUUUUCAGGUGUCCUUCCAUACAUCGAGCUAACAGUAGUAUGAUUUAUCUUCAGAAGACAUGUUUCAAGCAAAAAUUUUCCUUAUAACUAAGGAACAAUGGAGAAAACCAUGCAUUAGUAAAAAAUUAAACUUUCUUGGCAUAUUUGCAUGUAUUAGAUGUAAAUACUUCUGAUGCGUUAUCAAUUUCUUGGCAUAUUUGCAUGUAUGGUCAAUUCAUCACGGUGUGAGACAAAUUCAAUAAAGGCAGGUUCACAUGUAUAAGAAAGGUGAAGUUGACAAAGACAUGUAAAAGCAAUAAGGUGAAGUUGACAGAGAGCUACUUACAAACCCCCAUCCAUUUUUUGUGAAUUCUUGACCCCGAAUACUGAAGUGGCAAUGCGUUGAGAGGAAAAGCUCCAUAUAUGCACGCUCAUCUACCACUGCUGCAACACCACCACGGCUAGGACCAUCAUUUAAAGCUUUAGCAUAAUCUUCAGGGAGGUUAAGAGGAACAAGUCUAGAUUCAUCAAUGUGAAGUUCUUGAACCAGAUAGUUACGGGCAAAUGAACCCAACUGAUAACCAAUGGGUUGCUUUGUAUUUACUAAACUUUCAAUUCCGGUAAUUGGGGAAGAAAGUUUCUGCACUGUAAGAAUUGAGGUGAGACUGGCAGUAUAGCUUGAGUUUAUUAUCAAAACCACAAAUAGCCAUAUAAGAAGGACAAUACGACCAAAGGUGCUGACAGUGUUUUCUCCUGCAUACAAAAGUGUUUUUUUUGGUUAUAGAAGCUCAUUCAAAGGGUAGUACAGAAGUAACUCAACCAGCAUAGGUUACUUACUCUGGGCAGUAAAGAGAGUUGAAAAGCUGAACCUGCAAAAGAGUUUUACAUAGGAAAGGGUCAAGAGUUUGAUAUUCUACAAAGUGAAUUUGGCAAGUGGAAACUAGAAGGUGUGGGAGAAAGUCAAGGAAGAGCGAACAAUAUAUGACAUACUCUUUCAUCAGGUAAAUAAAUGGUAAUUUAGUAGUUAUGUUUUGCCAACUCACCAUAAAACAGUGACAAUCUGUUUACUCGGAGGUCCACGAAAUUCAUCAUUCAAUCUGUGUUCCAAAAUCCAAAUUACAGUGCCCACAAUUAAGAAAAAAACACCAGUGACACACCACAUCCUAGGAGUAAAUGGACUGAGAAAAGCCCAAGCAUUAGAAUUCUGCUCCUUAACUGGUGCCACUACAACUAACCCAGAUUCAAUGUACGGUUGAGUGAAAUCAACCAUUUUUGUUCGAUUAGUUGUAAUUGCUAUGUCACCUAUGGCUGCAUCAUAAACCUGAAAUAAGAGAUCAAGUAGAUACAGUUAGAGAGCACAUUGUUCAAAUGACACUACAAUAGAACCUUGGUAGUCUUAUACUCACUCCUGCUGUGAUUAGGCGUAUUAGCUCUGUAUCAUCUGGAUUGUUAUGACCAUCCCCAAAUGCAACUAGCUUGUAAGGGACAGCAUAAGGCAAUAAGUCUAUGGCAGUAGUGAAAACUUCAAUACAGUAUCCCCUGAAUGUGUCAGCGCCUGGUACCUUUCCAACAAACUCACGAAAGCUAGCUCGGUUAGGAACUCCAAUUUUCAGUUGUCUCCCAUUGUUUGGAAAAACCCAUCCACGAGGUUUUUCCGUUAUUUGUCCAGGCCAGAUUAUACUAUGUAGCUGUUGAUUCGAAGAGGAACGAUUUGCCGGCUUAGAGUACAGUGUUUCAGGAGGCACAAUUGAUAAACCAGAGUAUUCAGACCAAUAACCAACUUUCCUAUAACCUGUACCAACCACAUUAAUGACUUCAAAAGUAGGGCGGAAGAGUUCCUUAUCAGAAGUAAAACUAAAUGGUCCUGUUACACCUGUCAUAUUAACCUUAAAAAUGUUAUCUCGCAAUAACUUCCCUCCAUUAAAGAUGCUCAUAGAAUCAAGAUUCAUACUUCCACUAUCCAGUUCAGUUAGCCUUGGAUCCUUAGAAAAUGAAACAUUUCCACCCUGGUUAAAGAAUUCAUUGAUGGCACGAGCAAGUAGCCACACAGUAUCAUAAGCAUAGAGCGCAUAAGUGGACAUCCCUGAAGGUCCAGUAGCUCCUGCCUUCCUUGUCAACUUGCUCCACUGUGAGACAAACUUCUGUUUCAAUUCUGAGCCUGGAGUGUGUAUACGCAAGGUGAUAGCCCCUUCUAGGUUCUCUUUUUCAUCCGAAGAAAGGGGACCACCAGCAUCAAGGAUAGUUGAGAGCCAAUUUGUAGCAAUCCACACAUAUCCUCUAUCUAUCAUCCCCAAAUACCGGGCCAUAGAGAAUAUCUCCAGACCCUUUGUAGAAUAAGUGUGAACAAUCAUUAUUCGUGACUCUCUCAAAGCAACCUGAACUAAAACAUCCCGGGCAUCAUCCAAUGUUGCUCCAGGUUUCAUAGGUGCUUUGUAAGAGAUCGAACAAUGCUUCUUGGCCAGCUGAUCUGCUAAUGCAGCUAUACCAUUUCUUCCAAAAUCAUCAUCAAUAUAUAUCGCGAUCACUUCUCUCCAUUCAUAGUACUCAACAAUUUGAGCUAUCGCUUCCAUCUGAAACUUAUCACUUGGGGAAGUUCUAACAAAAAACGGGUACUGAAGCGAAGCAAGAGAGGGGUCUGUGGCUGCAAAUGAUAAUAGAGGGACCUGCAGCUCAUUCGCAAUGUUUGAUACCACAUGAGCUAUAACAGAAGAUUGGGGGCCAACAAUUGCCAUAGUAUCCGUCUCCAUGAAACGGAUAGCUGUUAUAAAAAUCAAACAAUUUACAUAAAACUCAAAGAGCAACAAGAAUUAUUGAAAUAAUGAAAAUGCUAUCCACAAAAGCAACAAAAUUACAGAUAUUAGCAAAGGGCUAGCUUACCCUCAACUAUUCCAAGAAAUCCACUGCCAUUACUAUCCAAUGUUAUCAUAUUCAGCUUAGUUCCUCCAAUAACAUCUGGAUUGGAAUUUAUAUCUUCAACGGCAGCUUCCGCAGCGAUUUUAGUAAUUUUCCCAACCAGUGUACUGAAAGACAGCAUACACCCAAUGUUCACAACUUUAGGCCUUGCAGAAAGAGUUGAAUUAACACCCUCUGAAGAAUACCCAUUGUAGAGAACUAUCAAAAUCAAUGUCCAAAAUAGUCUCAUAGUUAACUUGGGUACAAAAUGUGCAAUCUUGACACUGCUAGGCACAGAUAUGAAAAUUUACAUUAACAGAAAGUAUACAUAGUAAGCAGUAACAUCAAGAAUUCAAAAAUCAUAAUAGUUCAGUCAAACCAUAUUACAAAAAAGGGGGGAAAAGGAAGAAAGGGGUAGCCUCAAUUUCACACUAGAAGGACAUGGACAGUAAUUUUCCCAUCCAGAGUGUGAAAUGAGCCAUAUUUCAUUAAAAGAUAAUGGAGCGGACAAAAAGAAUAUUAAAAAUCUGAAAAGAGCAGAACAAAAUCUUGAGAAAAUAUGGAUGAGUAUUGGAUAGGGACAAGAAAUUUACUUACAGAACAUCAAACCGCCAUGACAAAGGGGGGAAAUAAAGAACAAGAAGCAGAAGGAAAAGGAAAAAAAGUUGUAGUUUUCUUUAUUGGGGUAUCUGCUUCUGCUCUUCCCCACUAAAAAAGCAUAAAGGGUAAAGCAAAUAAGUGCAAAUAUUGAAAUCUUGAGUUUCAGCAAGAAAAAAAAAGAACUUUUCUACUUUUAUGAAUUCAAAAUUCAUAUAUUUAAUGAACUGAGCUACUCGAUUUUCUGAAUUUGCUAUUUUUGGUUGGAACUAAGGGCCUGUUUGGAAGGACAUUCUGGUAAUUGGAUUUGGUAUAAUUGGUGUAAUUACACUAUCUUGUCUUGUUUGGGAGGACAUGUAAUUGGUGUAAUUGGCAAGGGUAAUUACACUCUACAAUUCACAGAAGAUGUGAAUUGCUAGUAAUUACACCAUGUAAUUACCACUUGAUUACUUUUUAAUUUCUUUUUUUAUUUCUAUUUAAAUUUUUUUUCCUUCUAUUAUUUUAAGUUCUUUUUUUUAAUUUCAUUAUUCUAAAAAAUUUUAAAAGUUUAUUUUUUAUUUUUUAUUAUUAUAUUUCAUUUUCUUCUUAUUCUCAACCUUACUUUACGUGAUUCUAUGUAAUUUUUUCGUAUUAUCUAUUUCUUUAUGCCAUGCUUAUUUUCUCAUUAGUAUAAUUUUAUUAUAUUCUAAUUUUUAAAUUAAAAUAGAAUUUAUUGUUAAGUAAGGUUAUAGACUUACAUUUUCUUUAUUAAGAAAAACUAAAACUAAAUCAUAUUUAUUGCUAUGUUGAAAUUUGUUAUAAGAGUAUUAUGUUAAAAUUUUUGUUUUGAAUUUAUAACUUAUGUUAUAUUUUCAGUUUCAUUUGUUUUAGUAAUAUUGAAUUUACAUUGCACGUCAUUUUUUAAUUAGACUUGAUAGAUUAUAUUUUUGUCCAUAAUAUUAGUUACAGAAAAUAUGUUUAUUAAUUAAUAUAUUUUCAAAAAGAAUAUAUAUCUUAAAUAUUUAAUUUAAUGUCAUUUAUAAAGUUUCUUAUUUGUCUAGUAUAAAUUUUAAAUAAUUAAUUUUUAUUUUUAAAAUUUAUUAUAAUUUUAUGAUUGUAAUUGUGCAUCCAAACAGAACAUGUGUAAUACACUGUGGCAUCCAAACAUGACAUGUGUAAUUAUAGUGUAAUUACAUUGUGGCAACCAAACAGGUCAAUGUAAUUACUAGACAGUGUAAUUACUAGGCUGGUAAUUACUACCCUAGUAAUUACACUAAUUCCAAUUAUCAGGUGACCUUCCAAACAGACCCUAAAAGAUGAUUGAAUAGUGAACCCACUCAGGUAUCAUUGCCAAGAAAAUAGGACAAAAAAAGUGUUGUUUCUGUAGCACAAAUACCAAUCAAGAGUUGUAGUGCAGUGAUAAGUACUUUUUCCUUCAGAAUUUUUAGAUUUGAGAAUUCUUGAGUAUAAAACCGUCUUUGUUAAGAAACAUUUUACCUCAUAAUAUGAGACUUCCCAACAUAAAUUCGAAUUUAGUUGAGCUAAAUAUAAACACGGAAGACUGAAUGAAAAAAAAUUGUAGCAAAAACACAUGAAAAAUGUGCGUCUUGUGUAUAUUAAAGAAUACGUGUGACAGUAGAUAAAGGUAUAAAAUGUUCACUUUCUUCCAACUUCCAUUAUUAUAUUAUACUCCCUCCGUCUCAUUUUAUGUCCACCAUUUCCUUUUUGGUCAGUCCCAAAAAGAAUGUUACAUUUUCUUAUAUGGUAAGUAUUUAAAGGUAUAAUUCCUCUUUUACCCUUGUUGGUCCUACUUAAUCUUAUAGAUAGUACUCCAAUAUAUUUAUGAGGAGAGAGCAAAGUGAGUCUACUUUUUAAUAUGACUAUUUUUUGAAGGAGCAAUUUGAUAAACAUUUCAAAGUCUUCAUUUAUUUCUUAAAUUUCGUGCCCGAUCAAAUAUUGCCACAUAAAAUGAGACGGAGGGAGUAUAUAAUUUGGACUUGCCCACUAAGCUAUGUGCCCAAAAGGAAGUUAGAAACAUCCUUAAUGACUCAUCAUUCUUAUUGAAGUAUAACUAUUUUCGGAUUAUUUUGGGAUUCUAAAAAAAUAAAUAUGUGUUUGUUAUAAGCUUGUCAAUCAAUUUUAAAUGAUUUUUCUUACUAUUGUAAGGCAUAAUUAAUAUCGCGGUUGUAUAAUUGUUCCCAAACUACUUACUAUACUAUAGUUGGGAACUUAGUAAUGUGGAUCCUCGUGUCAUGGAACAUAACCUCCACACUUUUGAUCGAGUUUGAUGAAAUAAGAUUGAAUAUCCCAACAAAUUUCUCUAUCAGUCUGUCGAGAUACUAUGACUGAUAUUUUUAUGUAGUAUUGUUUGCUCAAAAUAUCAAAUGCAAUUUUAUUCAAAGUUUAUCAAUUUUAAAAUCAAUCAUUCUUUCUUUUUGACCAACCUUCAUAUGUUCAUCGCUAACAAUAAUUAGAAUAUUGAUAAACAAAAAAAGUUAGUAGAGAAAAAGGAACUUGUCUUAGACUUAUGUGGCUUAGGUCAACACCUGAGGUCCCCAUGCAUUGGCUAAUGGCUCGAUUUGGAAUAUGUUGUCGGUACGUAUGUAUGCAUCAAAUCAUAUAAAUUUGUUAAUUCUUAUAAUUAAUUUUAUAAAAUAAAUAUAUGUAAUAAUUAAUCACUGUCAAAUAAUUGAGAUAAAUUUUCAUGAAAAUGGGCCACACCUUCAUCUUAUUUUAUAUGUGUUGGUUUUUUCUGUACUUGGACAGUUUGAAUAUAUCCAACACAAUUUUUCCUUAAAUUAUCACAAGUGAUCAUCGUGCCCACUACAUGGACAUUUCUUUUUGUUCAGAUGGGGGUUUAACAUUAAAUAACUCAAUUAUUCUUAUUUUUAUCGGUACGUAUUUGAUGUCAUUUUAAUUUUUUAAGUGAUUAUUUAAUUAAUAAUUAUAUUUAAAAAAAAUUCUUUAUCAAUAAAAUAAAAUAAAAUCUAUAAAUUUUAAAUGAUAAACAUUAAUUGAGUGAUGAUAUUAUAAAUCAAUUUCUUUUCGCCUUGCAUUGAAUUUUUUGAUUAGGAGUAAAAAAAAACAACAACUUUCACAUAUAUCAAACAUAAAAAUCAUAUUUGUAUGUUAUAGCUAUAGUUUGUAUAAUUGUGCUUCAUAUCAAAUUUUAUGUUUGCUAUGAAGCUUUUGAUUUGUAUAAUUCGCUAGAUACAUCAAAUUUUAUACAAAUUGUUCAGUUUUGUAUAAAUUCAUUUAUACAUUGUAAUUUGUAUAAUAAGAUCUGUAUUUGUAUAAUUAUAAGUGUAUAAGACGAAAAUAUAUGUAUUUGUAUUUGUAUAUACACUUUUCUCUCGCUUUAUACAAACACAAACGCAUUUUAUACAUUUUAUACCGAAAUGUAUAAAAUGACUAAUUGUAUAUCGAAAAUGGCUAAUUGUAUACCAAAUCAGAUUGGGGAAAAAUGAGAUGUUUGCUACGAAUUACAAAUAAAAUAAACUAUGGCUAUAACAUUCAAUUUGAAUUAAUAGUUUGUUAUUUCAUACAAUUUUUCCUAAAAAAAUAAACCAACAAUUGUCAUAUCUACGUCAAGUAUCAUUCUUUUUGGGAAAAGGUCAAAAGUGUACUAUUACCUACUCCAUUGAGAUAGUUUUUUUUUUAUAAAAAAAUUAUUGUUCAAUUAAUUCGAAUUAAUUUGAAUUCGUAUUGGAUAUAGGCCCAUUCUCAGGGUAGCGCUUCCUAUCAAAUAUUUUCUCAUACGCAUAAUUUGAAUCCAAAACCUAUUAUUAAAGGAAAAGAAGCCUUGAAACCACAUCCUUGGGUAAUCGUUGAGAUAGAUGGGCUACAAAUGUUCUGCAUAAUAUGAGGUUUUUACUCCCUCCGUCUCAUUUUAUGUGACACCAUUUUCUUUUUGGUCAAUUCCAAAAAGAACGUCACAUUUCCUCAUAUGGUAAGAAUUUAAAGGUACAAUUCCUCUUUUUCCCUUGUUGUUCCCACUUAAUCUUAAAGAUAAUAUUCCAAUAUAUUUAUGAGGAGAGAGAAAAGUGAGUCUACUUUUUAAAGGGCAAUUUGGUAAACAUUUCAAAGUCUUCAUUUAUUUCUUAAACUCCGUGCCCGGUCAAAUGUUGCCACAUAAAAUGGGACGGAAGGAAUAAUAUUUUCCAUUAGAAUUUCUUUAACCAUUAAUCUUUACCACUUGUAUUAAUUAAUUUAAUAUAAACCUGCUAUUUAUAAUAAAUUAAUUAAUAAAUGCAUAACAUGUGCAAUUUAUAUAUAACUUAAUUAUAAAUAAUUAGUAUAUUUGUAUUCUAAUUGAUUAUUUAACUACGAUUACUAUAUACAAAUUAGGAGGCGGUUUCCACAACUACUAAUUGAAGUGUAUAAAGUGAUGUCAGAAUACUGUAAAGAUGAGGCCUGUUUUCAGAAGUACUUCACAAGCAGUGUACUUUAGGCUCCUCCAGAUAGCAGCUGUAUCUUGUUCCGUUCUUACAUUAUAUGCAUGAUGUAACAUGUAUUGUAUAUUGUAAUCUACACCAUGUAAAUAUGCCUGCGCCGGGCAGGUACCAGAAAGCUGUACGGACACCACUGUUGUUGGAAACAAAAAUAAUGUAAAUAUGAAAUCAAAUUGUGUAAUCUUAUUAAAGUA
Molecule: long non-coding RNA, 9626 nt
Filed under: Solanum tuberosum (potato)
Lineage: Eukaryota; Viridiplantae; Streptophyta; Magnoliopsida; Solanales; Solanaceae
Description: long non-coding RNA (STUB_LNC003113)
Source: RNAcentral